CUUAGGAUUUACUACCUCAACACCCUAACCAAAACUCUUGAAACCCACAGAUCGGAAAACCUCUCUCCCCUUCUCCGAACCCACAAAUCAAACCCACCACAGCCAUUUUCACUUCUUUGGAUCAAACCCACAGCCCUCUUCCCUUCAAACCCACAGAGCAAGUCCCCUUGUUCCGUUUCCGUCAAAUUCCUCCGUUUCGUCGCCGGUGACUUCUUUUCGUCGACGGCUUGUUCUUCCGAUAGGAGAGCAAGUCCUUGGCUCUCCGGAGUUUCUCCGGCGCCGGUGAACCAACAGCCUUCCUCCGUUUCGUUGCCGGUAAACCGAUAGCCUUCGACAGGCGGCAAUGGCGUGAAUGAGAUCCAGAUGAGAGAGAGGGAUAUAUGAUCAGUAGAAGAAACGAGAGAGAGAGAGAGUGAGAGCAAGCGAGCCAGAAAACCUCGCCUCACACAGCGAGGCCUCCAAGCGAAUUCUUAAAUGGCGACUUGACCACUGAGGUUGCUGGGUGUGGGAUUUCCCCCCUUUUUCUCGCCAAUUUGAGGAAUUUUUGGUUUCCUCGCUACACGAUCACGAGUAUUGCCCUGUUAAUUUUCUGCACAAGUCUUUGGGAAAUGCUUAGUACACACCACAUUUGCGCUGCUGUGAUUCUUUUUUGAUCGGUAACCCUCUCAUCUUCUCCCCCCAUGGCAUUUCCCAACCCUAACCCCUCAAACUUCUUACAUCUCAUUUUUCGCCCCGUUGUGGGAGAAUCCCGCAGCGUGGUGGGAUAAACAGCGUCGUCAGCUCCUCUCCCCAAACAUGCGAUGAAGUUCAAGCUAACAAGUACUGAAUCAGCACAAAUUCCCAUGAAACCCCUCCGUUUGAGCUUGGAGUUCGGAUUUGUUUGAAGAACCUUGAAUGCGUGGUGGGUUGGAGAAACUUGACUCAUGGUUGUUUGAGUUUUGGUUCUGCUUUCUGUUGAGUUCAGGCUGCUGGAAUGUGAUACUGAACGUGUGUGUCCAAGAUUCGCCCUUGUCAAUCAAUGACUUGUGAUGGUCUGACUUUUGCUUCUGUUUAAAUGCUUCAUGGUGGGUAUACAUUUGUUUAAGGGUCUCGUGACUUGGUUUUAGUUAACUAGACUUGUGGUUUUGGUUGAAGUAGAUUUCGUGGAUUACUCAGUUUCGGUUAAGUAUUCGGGCUCUUGGUUUAGUUGAGAAACGAAUUCACCGUGACACUAUCUAUGACUAUGAUUUGUUAGUACCCUUAUUAUUGUGCAGCUCAUCUUGGUAUAUAUAGCGGUUCAAAUUCUGAGGUGUUAAAUUGAUAUGAACUUUUUCAUGGAUGUGAGCUAUUGCCUUUCUCUACUACUGCUACUUCUUACAAUGUGGAGUAAAUCCUACUAACACACUCUAACUCUGUUUUUUGAAAUAUAAAGCAUAACUGCUUGUGGAACUUGUGGUAUUUGGGUUGUGCAAGUUGUGUUUCACUUUCCACAGCCUUUGCUGGCAAGCUUUUUCAGAUCUCUGUGGAAUAAACAGGUUGGCAUCGGGAAGGUGAUUUCAUCUAGCUACAUAAUGUGUUGUGCUCGGGGUACAAUGAGCUUUUCAUUCUCUAUUAUGAUGUAGUUGGAAAUCACAUAAUUUUGACUCCACCGUUCCUUCAAUGCAGUGUGAGGUUUUAAAUUAUGAAGUUGGGAGACAUCUGUCGCUGCUGUUUUGUUGAAUGACUGCUGGAUUGAGCAGCUUUUUGACAGGUUUUUUGGGGGGGAUAUGUAUCCAGUUAUCUUUGGAUAUGGUAAUUUACGAGUCUUAGAUAUUUCUAGCUUUCCUUGGAUUCUUAUGUUAAAUAGUAGGUAUGACCAAAAAAGGGAGAUACUAAUUGGAGGGUUGAUGUAGAAACUGGCAUUUUAUUUAGAUCAUUAUUGCCUGUUUUCCUGUUUCAUUAUGUUGCUUUCCUUUCUUGAAUGUGUUUUUCUUAAUGGUUGUGCAUGAAUAAUGCCCGUCAUUAUUUGCCAAAAACCAAGUUCAACAUGUCAUAUGUUUUCUUGAAACCUCCACUGAUAUCAUAACGUGAGGGAGUGGGCUACUGGGCUAGUGCUGUAUUUAGCAACCACAACUAUUCAUGUUGACGGAUAUCAGCUUGGACCUCCAUUUCACCAUCAAAGAAAUGGGAAGAAAGGAAGACAUGGGAUGCAUGAAGACAAAGCCCGUUUGGCAUUUAACUUUAGCGUUGAGGAGGAAAACAAAAUACUGGGAAAAGCAUUUGGCCAGAUCCAUUCGCCUUACUGGGGGGAAGAAAGGAAGAAAGAUGUGCCAACAUAUGAACUUGUCAAUGAAACAUUGGACUACUUGAGGAGUUUGAAGCCUAUCAGAUGAUGAUCUUUCCAAGUUGCUCAAGAAGUUCCCUGAGGGAUUGGUUGUAGUCUUGAACAUUAGCUGAGGAUGAAUGUGAAGGUUUUGGAAACAUUCUUGUUUGGAAUCCGAUAGUGUUGGGUUAUAAUGUUGAUUGCAAGGGGGAUUGAAUGGCACAAUGCACUCACUCGCUGUUUGAUUCGAUUAUAACUGCUUUAAACUAUGUAAUCAUACAUUGGGUACAUAUAUCACAAUUGUUUUUUGUCCCAC
RNA transcript from Rhododendron vialii, 2597 nucleotides. RefSeq lists it as uncharacterized. The record is from RefSeq and is a predicted model, not a curated record. The transcript is spliced from 2 exons. NCBI's taxonomy places the organism in Eukaryota, Viridiplantae, Streptophyta, Magnoliopsida, Ericales, Ericaceae.